RNAcentral lists this transfer RNA (69 nucleotides) under Campylorhynchus zonatus (band-backed wren). RNAcentral describes it as "tRNA-Asp". The record is from RNAcentral. Lineage: Eukaryota; Metazoa; Chordata; Aves; Passeriformes; Certhiidae.
GAGGCGUUAGUAAAAUAAUUACAUGGCCUUGUCAAGACCAAAUCACAGGUGAAACCCCUGUACGCCCCA